RNAcentral lists this non-coding RNA (45 nucleotides) under Echinostoma caproni. The record is from RNAcentral. Lineage: Eukaryota; Metazoa; Platyhelminthes; Trematoda; Plagiorchiida; Echinostomatidae.
GCACUGCUGACGGGUCCCUAACAGGACGAAACAAAUGUCCAGUGC